RNAcentral lists this long non-coding RNA (202 nucleotides) under Brassica rapa (field mustard). RNAcentral's name for it is "long non-coding RNA (BRAP_LNC003525)". The record is from RNAcentral. Lineage: Eukaryota; Viridiplantae; Streptophyta; Magnoliopsida; Brassicales; Brassicaceae.
GGAUCAGAUUUUGGACUCUCCACAUAUUUGAAUUAAAGUUCAAAACAAUUGAAUUUGGAUUUUUUCGAAAGAAUUUAGGUUGUUUAGGAUAGUGAACGACUAUAGCAAACAUUCAGCGUCUGAGAAGUGAACUUACGCUAUGACAUGUUUACAAUACCAAACAUGAUCAAGAAAAUUUAUGGGAAGACAAAAAGAUUCUCCG